UACGAAGGGUGCGAGCGUUGUUCGGAAUUACUGGGCGUAAAGGGUUCGUAGGCUGGAAUUUAAGUCAAGUGUGAAAUCCCCGAGCUUAACUUGGGACGUGCAUUUGAAACUGGAUUUCUUGAGUAUCGGAGAGGGUGGUGGAAUUGUUGGUGUAGGAGUGACAUCCGUAGAGAUCAGCAGGAACAUCAGAUGCGAAGGCGACCGCCUGGCCGAUAACUGACGCUGAGGAACGAAAGCGUGGGGAGCAAACAGG
Molecule: ribosomal RNA, 253 nt
Filed under: uncultured bacterium
Lineage: Bacteria
Description: partial 16S ribosomal RNA
Rfam family: Bacterial small subunit ribosomal RNA
Source: RNAcentral